Molecule: ribosomal RNA, 465 nt
Filed under: uncultured bacterium
Lineage: Bacteria
Description: partial 16S ribosomal RNA
Rfam family: Bacterial small subunit ribosomal RNA
Source: RNAcentral
CCUACGGGCGGCAGCAGUAGGGAAUCUUCCACAAUGGGCGAAAGCCUGAUGGAGCAACACCGCGUGAGUGAAGAAGGGUUUCGGCUCGUAAAGCUCUGUUGUUGGAGAAGAACGAGCGUGAGAGUAACUGUUCACGCCGUGACGGUAUACAAACAGAAAGUUACGGCUAACUACGUGACAGCAGCCGUGGUAAUUAGUUGGUGGUAAGCGUUAUCCGGCUUUAUUGGGCGUGAAGCGAGCGCAUGCGGUUGCUUAGGUCUGAUGUGAAAGCCUUCGGCUUAACCGAAGAAGGGCUUCGGAAACCGGGCAACUUGAGUGCAGAAGAGGACAGUGGAAUUCCAUGUGUAGCGGUGGAAUGCGUAGAUAUAUGGAAGAACACCAGUGGCGAAGGCGGCUGUCUGGUCUGCAACUGACGCUGAGGCUCGAAAGCAUGGGUAGCGAACAGGAUUAGAUACCCGUGUAGUC